CUACGGGAGGCACCAGUGAGGAAUAUUGCACAAUGGAGGAAACUCUGAUGCAGCAACGCCGCGUGGAGGAUGACGCAUUUCGGUGUGUAAACUCCUUUUAUAUGUCAAGAAAAUGACGGUAGCAUAUGAAUAAGCACCGGCUAACUCCGUGCCAGCAGCCGCGGUAAUACGGAGGGUGCAAGCGUUACUCGGAAUCACUGGGCGUAAAGGACGCGUAGGCGGGAUAUCAAGUCAGGUGUGAAAUCCUACAGCUUAACCGUAGAACUGCACUUGAAACUGGUAACCUAGAGUAUGGGAGGGGGAGAUGGAAUUAGUGGUGUAGGGGUAAAAUCCGUAGAUAUCACUAGGAAUACCUAAGGCGAAGGCGAUCUCCUGGAACAUAACUGACGCUAAGGCGUGAAAGCGUGGGGAGCAAACAGGAUUAGAUACCCUUGUAGUC
This 439-nucleotide ribosomal RNA is filed under the name uncultured bacterium. RNAcentral's name for it is "partial 16S ribosomal RNA". It matches the Rfam family "Bacterial small subunit ribosomal RNA", at positions 339 to 795 of the family's 1533-position model. The record is from RNAcentral.